CCUGCGGGUGGCUGCAGUGGGGAAUAUUGGACAAUGGGCGAAAGCCUGAUCCAGCCAUGCCGCGUGUGUGAAGAAGGCCUUCGGGUUGUAAAGCACUUUCAGUGGGGAAGAAAGCCUUGGGGCUAAUACCCUCGAGGAAGGACAUCACCCACAGAAGAAGCACCGGCUAACUCCGUGCCAGCAGCCGCGGUAAUACGGAGGGUGCGAGCGUUAAUCGGAAUUACUGGGCGUAAAGCGCGCGUAGGCGGUCUGAUAAGCCGGUUGUGAAAGCCCCGGGCUCAACCUGGGAACGGCAUCCGGAACUGUCAGGCUAGAGUGCAGGAGAGGAAGGUAGAAUUCCCGGUGUAGCGGUGAAAUGCGUAGAGAUCGGGAGGAAUACCAGUGGCGAAGGCGGCCUUCUGGACUGACACUGACGCUGAGGUGCGAAAGCGUGGGUAGCAAACAGGAUUAGAUACCCCGAGUAGUC
RNAcentral lists this ribosomal RNA (466 nucleotides) under Vreelandella stevensii. RNAcentral's name for it is "partial 16S ribosomal RNA". It matches the Rfam family "Bacterial small subunit ribosomal RNA", at positions 338 to 795 of the family's 1533-position model. Lineage: Bacteria; Pseudomonadati; Pseudomonadota; Gammaproteobacteria; Oceanospirillales; Halomonadaceae. The record is from RNAcentral.